GGAAUAUUGCACAAUGGGCGAAAGCCUGAUGCAGCGACGCCGCGUGAGGGAUGACGGCCUUCGGGUUGUAAACCUCUUUCAGUAGGGAACAAGGCCAGUGUUUAGCUGGUUGAGGGUACUUGCAGAAGAAGCGCCGGCUAACUACGUGCCAGCAGCCGCGGUAAUACGUAGGGCGCAAGCGUUAUCCGGAAUUAUUGGGCGUAAAGAGCUCGUAGGCGGUUUGUCGCGUCUGCCGUGAAAGUCCGGGGCUCAACUCCGGAUCUGCGGUGGGUACGGGCAGACUAGAGUGAUGUAGGGGAGACUGGAAUUCCUGGUGUAGCGGUGAAAUGCGCAGAUAUCAGGAGGAACACCGAUGGCGAAGGCAGGUCUCUGGGCAUUAACUGACGCUGAGGAGCGAAAGCAUGGGGAGCGAACAGGAUUAGAUACCCGGG
RNAcentral lists this ribosomal RNA (431 nucleotides) under uncultured Arthrobacter sp. RNAcentral's name for it is "bacterial SSU rRNA". It matches the Rfam family "Bacterial small subunit ribosomal RNA", at positions 358 to 790 of the family's 1533-position model. The record is from RNAcentral. Lineage: Bacteria; Bacillati; Actinomycetota; Actinomycetes; Micrococcales; Micrococcaceae.